This 432-nucleotide ribosomal RNA is filed under the name uncultured bacterium. RNAcentral describes it as "partial 16S ribosomal RNA". It matches the Rfam family "Bacterial small subunit ribosomal RNA", at positions 29 to 506 of the family's 1533-position model. The record is from RNAcentral.
AACGAACGCUGGCGGCAUGCCUAACACAUGCCAGUCGAACGAGACCUUCGGGUCUAGUGGCGCACGGGUGCGUAACGCGUGGGAACCUGCCCUUAGGUUCGGAAUAACUCCCCGAAAGGGGUGCUAAUACCGGAUAAUGUCUUCGGACCAAAGAUUUAUCGCCUUUGGAUGGGCCCGCGUUGGAUUAGCUAGUUGGUAGGGUAAAAGCCUACCAAGGCGACGAUCCAUAGCUGGUCUGAGAGGAUGAUCAGCCACACUGGGACUGAGACACGGCCCAGACUCCUACGGGAGGCAGCAGUGGGGAAUAUUGGACAUUGGGCGAAGGCCGGAUCCGGCAAUGCCGCGGGAGUGAGGAAGGCCUUAGGGUGGUAAAGCUCUUUUACCCGGAAUAAUAAUGAAGGUACCGGAAGAAUAAGCUCCGGCUAACUCCGG